This 253-nucleotide ribosomal RNA is filed under the name uncultured bacterium. RNAcentral describes it as "partial 16S ribosomal RNA". It matches the Rfam family "Bacterial small subunit ribosomal RNA", at positions 524 to 776 of the family's 1533-position model. The record is from RNAcentral.
UACGUAGGGUGCAAGCGUUGUCCGGAAUUAUUGGGCGUAAAGAGCUCGUAGGCGGUUCGUCGCGUCGGCUGUGAAAACCCGGAGCUCAACUCCGGGCCUGCAGUCGAUACGGGCGGACUGGAGUUCGGCAGGGGAGACUGGAAUUCCUGGUGUAGCGGUGAAAUGCGUAGAUAUCUGGAGGAACACCGGUGGCGAAGGCGGCAUCCUGGACCGAGAUUGACGCUGAGGCGCGAAAGCCAGGGGAGCAAACGGG